GGUAUUUUUCGGGUGAUGCACCCCAGAAUCAGGCUCCCUCUUCCCUGGUACUGGGGUGUGUCACCCAAGAACCUCC
Molecule: non-coding RNA, 76 nt
Organism: Myotis lucifugus (little brown bat)
Lineage: Eukaryota; Metazoa; Chordata; Mammalia; Chiroptera; Vespertilionidae
Source: Rfam